Molecule: unclassified non-coding RNA, 632 nt
Filed under: Hevea brasiliensis (rubber tree)
Lineage: Eukaryota; Viridiplantae; Streptophyta; Magnoliopsida; Malpighiales; Euphorbiaceae
Source: RNAcentral
CAUAUCCGCGAGGUCUGUGUCUUGACCGCUCCAUUCUUCGCCUCCAACACGACCAUUGUUGCCUAUUUCUUUGGUAAAGAGAUUUGGGACUCUGGUGCUGGCCUUGUUGCUGCAGCUUUGAUUGCUAUAUGUCCUGGCUAUAUUUCUAGAUCCGUCGCUGGGUCUUAUGAUAAUGAGGGAGUUGCCAUUUUUGCUCUCUUGUUGACCUUUUACUUGUUUGUUAAGGCAGUGAACACAGGCUCACUUGCUUGGGCAUUAGCUUCGGCUUUCGGAUAUUUCUACAUGGUGUCAGCGUGGGGAGGUUAUGUGUUUAUCAUUAAUUUGAUCCCUCUUUAUGUCAUGGUGCUAUUGAUUACUGGGAGAUACUCGCUGAGGUUGUAUGUUGCUUAUAAUUGUAUGUAUGUGUUGGGGAUGCUGCUUGCUAUGCAGAUACGGUUUGUUGGUUUCCAGCAUGUGCAAUCUGGAGAGCAUAUGGCUGCAAUGGGCGUUUUCUUCUUGAUGCAGGUAUUUUAUUUCUUGGAUUGGGUUAAAUACUUGCUGAAUGAUGCAAAAUUAUUUCAAGCGUUUUUGAGGAUCACAGUGACCUUCACAGUUGGUGUUGGCGCUAUUGCUUUAGGAGUUGGCACAGCAUC